GCUCUAUCCAAUGGGUUAAAAGGGGGGAAAACCCCCCCAGCUAUUAACCGGAGGUCGAUGGUUCGAUUCCAUCUUGGAGCA
This is a non-coding RNA of Rhamnusium bicolor, 81 nucleotides long. NCBI's taxonomy places the organism in Eukaryota, Metazoa, Arthropoda, Insecta, Coleoptera, Cerambycidae. The record is from the annotation of a GenBank genome assembly.